Molecule: ribosomal RNA, 492 nt
Filed under: uncultured bacterium
Lineage: Bacteria
Description: partial 16S ribosomal RNA
Rfam family: Bacterial small subunit ribosomal RNA
Source: RNAcentral
AGUGAACGCUGGCGGUAGGCCUAACACAUGCAAGUCGAACGGCAGCACAGUAAGAGCUUGCUCUUACGGGUGGCGAGUGGCGGACGGGUGAGGCAUACAUCGGAAUCUACUUUUUCGUGGGGGAUAACGUAGGGAAACUUACGCUAAUACCGCAUACGGCCUACGGGUGAAAGCAGGGGAUCUUCGGACCUUGCGCGAUUGAAUGAGCCGAUGUCGGAUUAGCUAGUUGGCGGGGUAAAGGCACACCAAGGCGACGAUCCGUAGCUGGUCUGAGAGGAUGAUCAGCCACACUGGAACUGAGACACGGUCCAGACUCCUACGGGAGGCAGCAGUGGGGAAUAUUGGACAAUGGGCGCAAGCCUGAUCCAGCCAUACCGCGUGGGUGAAGAAGGCCUUCGGGUUGUAAAGCCCUUUUGUUGGGAAAGAAAAGCAGCAGGUUAAUACCCCGCUGUUCUGACGGUACCCAAAGAAUAAGCACCGGCUAACUUCGUG